This 457-nucleotide ribosomal RNA is filed under the name Phallichthys tico. RNAcentral describes it as "partial 12S ribosomal RNA". It matches the Rfam family "Bacterial small subunit ribosomal RNA", at positions 875 to 1533 of the family's 1533-position model. Lineage: Eukaryota; Metazoa; Chordata; Actinopteri; Cyprinodontiformes; Poeciliidae. The record is from RNAcentral.
GGGGACUACGAGCAUAAGCUUAAAACCCAAAGGACUUGGCGGUGCUUUAGACCCCCCUAGAGGAGCCUGUUCUAGAACCGAUAACCCCCGUUCAACCUCACCUUUUCUUGCCUAUCCCGCCUAUAUACCGCCGUCGUCAGCAUACCCUGUGAAGGAACCAUAGUAAGCAAAACUGGUAAAACCCCAAACGUCAGGUCGAGGUGUAGCACACGAAAAGGAAAGAAAUGGGCUACAUUUCCUACCUCAGGAAACACGAAUUGUGCUAUGAAACAACAUAUGAAGGAGGAUUUAGCAGUAAGUGGAAAACAGAGCGUUCCACUGAACCCGGCCCUGAAGCGCGCACACACCGCCCGUCACUCUCCCCAGGCCCAAAACCAAUAGUACUUAAAAACAUACUAAGGCAAAGGGGAGGCAAGUCGUAACAUGGUAAGUGUACCGGAAAGUGCACUUGGAAAAU